This 398-nucleotide ribosomal RNA is filed under the name uncultured bacterium. RNAcentral's name for it is "partial 16S ribosomal RNA". It matches the Rfam family "Bacterial small subunit ribosomal RNA", at positions 523 to 918 of the family's 1533-position model. The record is from RNAcentral.
AUACGUAGGGUGCGAGCGUUGUCCGGAAUUACUGGGCGUAAAGAGCUCGUAGGUGGUUUGUCGCGUCGUCUGUGAAAUUCCGGGGCUUAACUCCGGGCGUGCAGGCGAUACGGGCAUAACUUGAGUACUGUAGGGGAGACUGGAAUUCCUGGUGUAGCGGUGAAAUGCGCAGAUAUCAGGAGGAACACCGGGGGCGAAGGCGGGUCUCUGGGCAGUAACUGACGCUGAGGAGCGAAAGCAUGGGUAGCGAACAGGAUUAGAUACCCUGGUAGUCCAUGCCGUAAACGGUGGGCGCUAGGUGUAGGGGUCUUCCACGACUUCUGUGCCGUAGCUAACGCAUUAAGCGCCCCGCCUGGGGAGUACGGCCGCAAGGCUAAAACUCAAAUGAAUUGGCGGGG